UUAAAAUUAAAAGCAUUUAGUGUUACGAAUUGCAAACAACUCAUCAGGAAUCGCAAGCAAUGGGAUUUGCAAUCACUCCAUUCUCUUUCAAGUUUUACAAUAGCUAUGUGCGAUGAGGUGGAAUCCUUCCCAGAGGAGAUGCUGCUCCCCUCCAGUCUUACGACUCUUGAAAUUAGGCAUCUUUCAAAUCUAAAAUCUCUGGACCACAAAGGGCUUCAACACCUCACUUCUCUUAGAGAAUUGCAGAUCUGGCAAUGCCCCAAUCUCCAGUCUUUGCCAUAAGAGGGACUUCCCUCCUCUCUUUCUUCUCUAUCUAUCUUCAGGUGUAAUUUGCUGAAAGAAAGGUGAAAAAGACCUAAUGGGGAGGAUUGGCUCAAGGUUUCUCACAUCCCAUACUUGUAUAUAUCUUGAUUAGUCCUUGAUUCAUUCAUUAUUAUAAGGCUUCGUCAGCUGUGGCCGAAGAUAGAUUGAUAGUUUGCUAGCUUCUCACGGAGAAUAUCCAUCUCUUCAUUCUUAAGUUCUCAGCCUGACUUGUUUGCCGGUUAGUGUUUCCUUUGAGUUGAACAAUGGCCUGCUUUAGAGCUGGUUUCUUGCAAGUUUGUAACUCUAUGCUUGGGGAUUUUCAUCUUGUAAAUUGUGUUCUA
Molecule: long non-coding RNA, 644 nt
Organism: Populus euphratica (Euphrates poplar)
Lineage: Eukaryota; Viridiplantae; Streptophyta; Magnoliopsida; Malpighiales; Salicaceae
Exons: 2
Source: RefSeq, a predicted model, not a curated record